GCCGAAGUGGUGAAAUUGGUAGACACGCCGUCUUGAGGGGGCGGUGGCGCAAGCCGUGUGGGUUCGAGUCCCACCUUCGGCACCA
This 85-nucleotide transfer RNA is filed under the name Sulfurifustis variabilis. RNAcentral describes it as "tRNA-Leu". It matches the Rfam family "tRNA". Rfam says of the family: Transfer RNA (tRNA) molecules are approximately 80 nucleotides in length. The record is from RNAcentral. Lineage: Bacteria; Pseudomonadati; Pseudomonadota; Gammaproteobacteria; Acidiferrobacterales; Acidiferrobacteraceae.